GGAGGAAUGGCAGAGUGGUCGAUUGCGGCAGUCUUGAAAACUGUUGACUGUUACAGGUCCGGGGGUUCGAAUCCCUCUUCCUCCG
RNAcentral lists this transfer RNA (85 nucleotides) under Salegentibacter salegens. Its description in RNAcentral is "tRNA_Ser_TGA". It matches the Rfam family "tRNA". Rfam says of the family: Transfer RNA (tRNA) molecules are approximately 80 nucleotides in length. Their secondary structure includes four short double-helical elements and three loops (D, anti-codon, and T loops). The record is from RNAcentral. Lineage: Bacteria; Pseudomonadati; Bacteroidota; Flavobacteriia; Flavobacteriales; Flavobacteriaceae.